Molecule: long non-coding RNA, 1270 nt
Organism: Chinchilla lanigera (long-tailed chinchilla)
Lineage: Eukaryota; Metazoa; Chordata; Mammalia; Rodentia; Chinchillidae
Exons: 3
Source: RefSeq, a predicted model, not a curated record
CUUUUUUAGCCAACAUGACUGAAAUUUUGAUCAACAAACAUCCAAGGGACACAACCAAUCUUUUGUGAACAAGGAAUAUCAAGAGAGGAGCUUGAAGGGCUGCAAAUCAGAGACUGCUGGGGAGUGGAGAUGGGCUGCAGAGGAAGAGGAAGACUGGGAGAGAGGCCACAACCCAUCUUCAUUUUCCAAGUGUGACUGAGCAAGACAUCUCACUUGGAUAAAUACAAGGAAGGCAAAAAACAACGAGGCUGGAAGAAUGAAUUUCUCCCUACCUCCCCAACCCUCCGAAAACUUAACUAAGAAGGUAAUUGCAGAAGUGAGAAAACAGUAAUUCACACUGCUUCUUCAUUCAAACACAUUUUUGUUGGCCUCUGAAGAUCAGUGCAAUAGAGUGAAGUCCUUCUAAACUUCUCAGAGACCCCGGGGACAACGUGGCUGUUCAUUUACACUGGAAAGGAGGGCUACAAGUGACCAUAACGGAAGGAGCAGACAAAUACUGAGUACUUGCCGAUGCAGAGAGAGAUGAGCUAAUUAACUUGCUGAAAGUUGAAUAGUUGGCAAGCUAUGAUACUUCUGGACUAAGUACCUGGACAGGCUGCACAUCAGCACUUUAGGCAUUCUGCCCCUGGAACAUGGUAAACACAGAGCACCUAUCAGAGAAAGCUUUGGGAGUGGAGAUGAUACCCAGUAUAAGUACUGUAGGACAAGACUAUGUCAGUAGAAGGGGCAGAAGUAGGGAACAAUACAAAUAUUCCAAGCUAUGAAAUAACAUAGCAAAGUUAGAAAAACACAAGUUGUUUUAUAUUAUUAGACUUUGGGACAGAAAGUAGAUGAGUUUGGAGUCGUGUACAAGAAUCAGAUCAUCAAUGUUUUUUUGUGCUGUGCAGUGAAGCAUGCAUUUUAUCCUUAAUAUAAGACAACACUGAAAGAUUUUUAAACAAAGGAAGCUUAAAAAUUUUUAGAUAGAUCUUUCUGAUAGCAGUGUGGAGGAUGUGAGGUUGCGGGAGGAAAGUUUGGAAUUAAGGCAAUCAGCUGGGGACAAUUGUAACAGGUUAGAGGAAGGAAGACAAGGAUGAGAAUUAGGGCCAGAGAGGUGGGAACAAAUUCAAAGAAUGUUUGGGGGUGGUGAAUCAGUAAACUCAGGAAUAAAAAGAAUGAGAAAAUGUGAAGAAUAAAUGUAUAGAAUAAUUGUCAAGUUUCUGAUGGUGUAAAUUGAAUAAUACCUGUAAGGAAGUAAGUGAGGUUGACCUGAGUUCAGUUUGGGUGUUGU